Papilio xuthus (Asian swallowtail) is the source of this 3573-nucleotide RNA transcript. RefSeq lists it as uncharacterized. NCBI's taxonomy places the organism in Eukaryota, Metazoa, Arthropoda, Insecta, Lepidoptera, Papilionidae. The transcript has 13 exons. The record is from RefSeq and is a predicted model, not a curated record.
UAUUUUAUUUUAGCAUUCGCGUCGGUCCGUCGCACGCGGCGGACGUGUGUCGCGUUUUUGUUUAUUCCACCCGCUAUCGUUACUGCCGCCAUAAUCCAACCGUGAAUUUGUUUUUGGUAUACCGUAAUAUUGUCGGUCACAUCGGUGUUAGUUUAUGACUAUACAUUCCCGAGAGAAGUGUAACAGUGUUAUUAAAUACGUUUAAUACAUCCGUUCGAGUGAAAUGACACUUUGAUCAACAACGAUAUAAUGUUCAGUUAUUUAAAUUUUAAUGUUGGUGAAAUACAACACUAACUUAGUCGGUGAAUUGGACUGAAAAGCUGCACGAUGUACUCGACAUCCACGGCGUCAACGACUACGUCGGGGUCGCGCGGCGAGUCCGCGGUGGGCCCGGUGGAGCGACGCGUACGCGUCGUGCGUUUACUGCGGCCGCGCCGUGCCGCACCCGCGUUCGGCUUCGCUAUGCGCGGCGGCCGCGAGUAUGCCACCGGAUUCUUCGUAUCAAAAGUCGACAUCAACUCCGAGGCACAUCUACAAGGAUUAAAGGUGGGCGAUCAAAUAGUGAGUGUGAAUGGAUACCGAGUGGAGGACGCUGUGCACGCCGAGCUCGCGCAUUACCUUACCUCGCAGUCCCGACUCAAGAUAAAAGUGCGACACGUGGGCAUGAUUCCGGUCAAAGAGAAAGACCACGAGCCGCUGUCUUGGCAGUUUGUGUCGGAGCGCGCGUCGCUGUCGUCAGCCGCGUCUUCAUCACCUACACUGUGCGAUCUCGCUGACCGCCUCACCGAUAUGCGCCUCUCCAUACUGGUGCCGCCCCGCGCUAAGCUCGGCUGCGGAAUAUGUAAGGGCCCGGACUGGAAGCCUGGUAUCUUUGUGCAAUUUGUGAGGGAAGGUGGAAUAGCGCGGGAGGCCGGCUUGAGGCCCGGUGAUCAGAUUUUGUCCUGCAAUGGUCAAGAUUUUGCUAAUAUCUCCUUCAAUGAGGCGAUAUCAGCAAUGAAAGUGAGUGGUCGCCUUGAGCUUGUGAUCCGCGAGGGCGCGGGCACGGAGCUGGUGUCUCCGGAGAGCUCGGGUUACAACAGCUCGGCGUCCUCCGCUGCCGGAGAGCGCAGCCCCGCCCCCGCGCCCGCGCCUCUCCCUCUUGCCCUCGCCCCGCCCGCCGCGCUGCGUAGGAGGCUCGCCAGCGUUGCUGAGGAAGCCGCUGACAGAGCAGACAGAUUAACCAUGAACCGAAUCAAAAGAAGAACUUGGGACAGUCUGGAUUUCAAAUGGAAAAACGACGAUACGCACAACUUCGACGCACCUUCUGACAUAGAGCCUGACUAUGACAGUCCAAGUAAUCCGAACAAUCCGCAUACAUACGAAAAGAAAACAAACCUGCGAAAAAAUAAAACAGAAUUUGAACCAACGCGAGUAACAAGUCCAUUAAAUCGAACUAUAAUAAAUUUAACUGAAGAUGGCGCCACUAUUCAAUGUAGUUAUGAUAAUAACCAGACGCCGAGAAAGAAUGUGUUUACGAAUGAAACGAAUAGAGAUAAAGAAAAGAAGACGAUCGUGGUCGAGGUGCACCACGUGGCCCCGGCGGCGUGCGCCAACACGCAUUGCAAUUUCCCCCCACCGAUGAAAAAAGAUAUCAAUUCCGACACUUCAAGUAUAACAAGCACAGCGACCUUAUCUAGCGCUAUCGCCGAGGAAAUACAAAGGCGGAAAAUGAACAAGAAAACGCCUGUUGAAACCCCGCCUGUAUUAAACCCAGUUAAGAAACCAACUGCGCCGAAGCCCGUUGACGAUAAGAAAAAACAACAUGACGCGUUGAUGGACGAAUUUAAGAAAGUCCAUAGAAAAAUGUUUGCUAAUCAAGAUGAUGCGACGCUGACGGAAGAUUGUACAGAUGGCGUGGAUCGCCAACCAACACUGCAGAUAAAGAAAGAGAAACCUGAACCAGUUCCCCAAGAAUCACCUGUCAGCAAUGGGGUGAAGCAGCACAAAGACGUAGUAGACUGCCCGCCGCCUCCGCCUCCUAUGCCAAUAGCAAACGGUCAUCAAAACGGCGAGACUAAGAAAGUCGAAAUUCUAAAACCAAAAUCUGAAAAAGUUGAUCACAUUAUUAAUACAAAUGUAAAAAAGGUCGGUACCCUCAAACGCACGCCAACACCAGAUUAUAACAACAAAGCUGACACACAAUUGCAGUACAAUUUGAAGAACAUCAAAGAAGAAAAUGCCGAGAUAGAGUCACUCGAAUCAUAUAAAUUAAAGAACCCUCUAAAUGUACAGCCUAAACCACCACCUAAUUAUUUUGUUCGAGCACCCAAUGGAACGGCAACUAUGAAGAAAAUCGCAAGACCCGUUUCAGUUACGAUAGGGGAAUACGUUAACAAUGUUGGAAGAAGAGAACCUCUAAAACUUGAUUUUCUCAACGGUGACAAAGUAGACGGCCAUUUAAUCCCAGACGAUGAAUCUAUAUCAAGUAGACUGCAAUCAGAAUUAGCGCUUACAUUGUCUAGAUCCAAUUUACGUAAGAAGACUGAAGCCUUGGAUAAAAAUGUCAAAAUGUCUGUUAAUAAGGCCGUGCAUAAGAAAGAGAUUAUAUCUUUAGAUAAGAACUUUCAUGUAAGAUACGGCAAUAACAUCUUACCGCUGCCUCCGUCCAUCAGAAUACCUAAAGUCUCCAAAACUAAACAUUGAUUGAUUCGUGCUACAAUUCGUCCUGUUAUGCUUCUAGCUUCAUAACUUUACGGAUGUAAUGUAACAAAUGCAUAUAAAGUGAAGUUUUAAAGCGACUAUUAAUGAAAUGCGGACGCGGGGCGAUGACGUGUGUUUGCUUCAAAUAAAGUCGCAACUAUUUAUUAUUAGGCAAUUGUAGUGCUAGUAGCAUUGUAAUUUUUCUAAGGUAUUGUAUUUGCGUUUCUAUAAUUUAACGACACGUAUGAAUACAAAUAAAAAUAUAUAAAAUAAUAAGUCAUUAAAGACUUUAUAUAUUUUUUGAAGAAAGUUACAGUCUUAAAAAUUACCGCCCAUUACGUAUAAUGUACUUGAAAAUGUGGACUUCUUAAAUAAGAUCAUAACAGAUCAGAUUGAAAGUAUUAAUUAGAAAAAAAAUAAUUCAUCACCAUCACCUUUGCAAUAGGCUCUGCCUUACAUACACCUUUAUCAGCCGUCAUAUCUGAAUUCACUCCCUACCCGAGAAAGUAUGGAUGGAUAGUGUAAAAGGGGAUUAUGCGGAAAAUCCUCACUCAAUUCAUCAAUACUUUUUCGGUCUUGUUCUCCCUUUGUAGCCAUCAUCACCUUAAGUCUCCUGACUUGAAUGUGUCCAUCAACUGUCCGCAUAAUACAAAAUGAAAUACAGUUUAGAUAUAGAUAAAAGUAUAUGAAUAAAUAAAUGUAAAAUCAUUUGGUUAAAUUAAUAAAUUUCAACCAAAGUUAUUUGCUAGGUAUAUGUAAUAACAAGAAAUCAUCUUAUUUUUAGUUCAAUACUGAAUAUUUGAAUACGUUAAAAUAAUUAAAAUGUGAAGUAUAUAUUGCAGCAGAAACAUAAAAUAUUGCGUGAAACACCUAAGUCAUUAUAAUAAAAAAGUG